ACGGGGGGGGCAAGCGUUGUUCGGAAUUACCGGGCGUAAAGGGCUCGUAGGCGGCCAACUAAGUCAGACGUGAAAUCCCCGGGCUCAACCCGGGAACUGCGUCCGAUACUGGAAGGCUUGAAUUCGGGAGAGGGAUGCGGAAUUCCAGGUGUAGCGGUGAAAUGCGUAGAUAUCUGGAGGAACACCGGUGGCGAAGGCGGCAUCCUGGACCGGCAUCGACGCUGAGGCGCGAAAGCCAGGGGAGCAAACGGGA
This 253-nucleotide ribosomal RNA is filed under the name uncultured prokaryote. Its description in RNAcentral is "partial 16S ribosomal RNA". It matches the Rfam family "Bacterial small subunit ribosomal RNA", at positions 525 to 777 of the family's 1533-position model. The record is from RNAcentral.